Molecule: ribosomal RNA, 172 nt
Filed under: uncultured bacterium
Lineage: Bacteria
Description: partial 16S ribosomal RNA
Rfam family: Bacterial small subunit ribosomal RNA
Source: RNAcentral
GAAGUUGGAUUCGCUAGUAAUCGCGCAUCAGCCAUGGCGCGGUGAAUACGUUCCCGGGCCUUGUACACACCGCCCGUCAAGCCAUGGGAGCCGGGGGGCGCCUGAAGUCCGGGACCGCGAGGACCGGCCUAGGGCGAAACUGGUAACUGGGGCUAAGUCGUAACAAGGUAAC